This 68-nucleotide transfer RNA is filed under the name Marmota monax (woodchuck). RNAcentral describes it as "tRNA.Ala". The stretch from base 5 to 65 matches the Rfam family "tRNA", at positions 6 to 65 of the family's 71-position model. Rfam says of the family: Transfer RNA (tRNA) molecules are approximately 80 nucleotides in length. Their secondary structure includes four short double-helical elements and three loops (D, anti-codon, and T loops). Further hydrogen bonds mediate the characteristic L-shaped molecular structure. tRNAs have two regions of fundamental functional importance: the anti-codon, which is responsible for specific mRNA codon recognition, and the 3' end, to which the tRNAs corresponding amino acid is attached (by aminoacyl-tRNA synthetases). tRNAs cope with the degeneracy of the genetic code in two manners: having more than one tRNA (with a specific anti-codon) for a particular amino acid; and 'wobble' base-pairing, i.e. permitting non-standard base-pairing at the 3rd anti-codon position. Lineage: Eukaryota; Metazoa; Chordata; Mammalia; Rodentia; Sciuridae. The record is from RNAcentral.
GGAUUGUGGCUCAGUGGUAGAGCACUUGCCUGGCAUGUGUAAGGGCCUGGGUUCAAUCCUCAGCACCA